RNAcentral lists this ribosomal RNA (467 nucleotides) under uncultured bacterium. RNAcentral describes it as "partial 16S ribosomal RNA". It matches the Rfam family "Bacterial small subunit ribosomal RNA", at positions 29 to 507 of the family's 1533-position model. The record is from RNAcentral.
ACGAACGCUGGCGGCGUGCUUAACACAUGCAAGUCGAACGGAAAGGCCCUGCUUUUGUGGGGUGCUCGAGUGGCGAACGGGUGAGUAACACGUGAGUAACCUGCCCUUGACUUUGGGAUAACUUCAGGAAACUGGGGCUAAUACUGGAUAGGAGCUCCUGCUGCAUGGUGGGGGUUGGAAAGUUUCGGCGGUUGGGGAUGGACUCGCGGCUUAUCAGCUUGUUGGUGGGGUAGUGGCUUACCAAGGCUUUGACGGGUAGCCGGCCUGAGAGGGUGACCGGCCACAUUGGGACUAAGAUACGGCGCAGACUCCUACGGGAGGCAGCAGUGGGGAAUAUUGCACAAUGGGCGGAAGCCUGAUGCAGCAACGCCGCGUGCGGGAUAACGGCCUUCGAGUUGUAAACCGCUUUCGCCUGUGACGAAGCGUGAGUGACGGUAAUGGGUAAAAAAGCACCGGCUAACUACGUG